This 305-nucleotide ribosomal RNA is filed under the name uncultured bacterium. RNAcentral's name for it is "bacterial SSU rRNA". It matches the Rfam family "Bacterial small subunit ribosomal RNA", at positions 333 to 636 of the family's 1533-position model. The record is from RNAcentral.
GUUGUCCUACGGGGCGCAGCAGUGAGGAAUAUUGGUCAAUGGCCGGAAGGCUGAACCAGCCAAGUCGCGUGAGGGAAUAAGGCCCUAUGGAUUGUAAACCUCUUUUGUCGGGGAACAAAGGCGCCCACGGGUGGGCGGAUGAGUGUACCCGAAGAAAAAGCAUCGGCUAACUCCGUGCCAGCAGCCGCGGUAAUACGGAGGAUGCGAGCGUUAUCCGGAUUUAUUGGGUUUAAAGGGUGCGUAGGCGGACAGUCAAGUCAGCGGUAAAAAUGCGGUGCUCAACGCCGUACAGCCGUUGAAACUGG